GAGUUUGAUCAUGGCUCAGAAUGAACGUUGGCGGCGUGGAUUAGGCAUGCAAGUCGGACGGGCCGCAAGGCCAGUGGCGGAAGGGUGAGUAAGGCGACGGUAACCAACCCCGCGGGUGGGCAUAGCCGGGGGAAACUCCGGGUAAUUCCCAGCGAUAUGACGACCCGGCAUCGGGAUGUCAUCAAAGAUUUAUCGCCGCGGGACGGGCCGUUGUGGUAUUAGCUCGUUGGCGGGGUGACGGCCCACCAAGGCUACGAUGCCUACCGGGCGUGCGAGCGUGGCCCGGCACACUGGGACUGAGACACUGCCCAGACUCCUACGGGAGGCUGCAGUCGAGAAUCUUCGGCAAUGGGCGCAAGCCUGACCGAGCGACGCCGCGUGGAGGAUGAAGGCCUUCGGGUUGUAAACUCCUGUCGAGGGGUAGGAAGGCGCAAGCUUGACCGAUCCCUGGAGGAAGCACGGGCUAAGUUCGUGCCAGCAGCCGCGGUAAUACG
This 494-nucleotide ribosomal RNA is filed under the name uncultured eubacterium WR135. Its description in RNAcentral is "bacterial SSU rRNA". It matches the Rfam family "Bacterial small subunit ribosomal RNA", at positions 9 to 527 of the family's 1533-position model. The record is from RNAcentral.